RNAcentral lists this ribosomal RNA (494 nucleotides) under uncultured bacterium. Its description in RNAcentral is "partial 16S ribosomal RNA". It matches the Rfam family "Bacterial small subunit ribosomal RNA", at positions 28 to 507 of the family's 1533-position model. The record is from RNAcentral.
GACGAACGCUGGCGGCGCGCUUAACACAUGCAAGUCGAACGGAAAGGCCUGCUUUCCCUUGUGGAGUGCGGGUACUCGAGUGGCGAACGGGUGAGUAACACGUGAGUGAUCUGCCCCCAACUUGGUUAUAAGCCUGGGAAACUGGAUCUAAUUCCCGAUAGGACUGCAGGGUGGUGCCUGUGGUGGAAGACGAUUUUCUAGUGGUUGGGGAUGAGCCCGCGGCCUAUCAGCUUGUUGGUGGGGUAAUGUCCUACCAAGGCGGCGACGGGUAGCCAGCGUGGGAUGGUGGACGGCCAAAUUGAGACUGGGACACGGCCCAGACGCGUGCGGGAAGCAGCAGUGGGGAAGAUUGGACCAAGGGCGGAAGGCUGAUGCGGCGACGGAGUGUGGGGGAUGACGGGCUUCGAGUUGUAAACUACUUUCGACCGAGAGGAAGCCACCUGGUUGGAAGGGUGGUGACGGUAGUGGUAGAAGAAGCACCGGCUAACUACGUG